This 468-nucleotide ribosomal RNA is filed under the name uncultured bacterium. RNAcentral describes it as "partial 16S ribosomal RNA". It matches the Rfam family "Bacterial small subunit ribosomal RNA", at positions 28 to 507 of the family's 1533-position model. The record is from RNAcentral.
GACGAACGCUGGCGGCGUGCUUAACACAUGCAAGUCGAACGGAAAGGCCCUGCUUUUGUGGGGUGCUCGAGUGGCGAACGGGUGAGUAACACGUGAGUAACCUGCCCUUGACUUUGGGAUAACUUCAGGAAACUGGGGCUAAUACCGGAUAGGAGCUCCUGCUGCAUGGUGGGGGUUGGACAGUUUCGGCGGUUGGGGAUGGACUCGCGGCUUAUCAGCUUGUUGGUGGGGUAGUGGCUUACCAAGGCUUUGACGGGUAGCCGGCCUGAGAGGGUGACCGGCCACAUUGGGACUGAGAUACGGCACAGACUCCUACGGGACGCAGCAGUGGGGAAUAUUGCACAAUGGGCGGAAGCCUGAUGCAGCAACGCCGCGUGCGGGAUGACGGCCUUCGGGUUGUAAACCGCUGUCGCCUGUGACGAAGCGUGAGUGACGGUAAUGGGUAAAGAAGCACCGGCUAACUACGUG